This 448-nucleotide long non-coding RNA is filed under the name Homo sapiens (human). RNAcentral describes it as "HSALNT0129160". The record is from RNAcentral. Lineage: Eukaryota; Metazoa; Chordata; Mammalia; Primates; Hominidae.
CUUUUGUGCAGAGAAGACUGAGAAUUCAGCCCUAGAGAAUUCAGCUCUGGUUGUGAGUGCCUCUUUUCCAGGGCAGAGACUUCUGGAAAAGCAGAUGGAGCCUUGUGGAAUGGGGCUCUCUGCCUCAUCUGGGGAGUGACUCUCGAUUCCCCUCACCUGUCCCUCCCAUCACACCUGGGCUUCUUUGCGGUGACAGACCCAGGGUCUCCCUAUGUUGCCAAGGCUGGUCUCGAACUCCUAGGCUCAAGCAAUACUCCUGCCUUGGCCUCCCAAAGUGCUGGGAUUAACUCCUCUGGCUGGCGAGGCUGUAUCCUCCUCCUUCUGUUGCAGAAAAUGAGCCUCCAUCAGCCUGUGUCCCCGCGUGAGGACAGUGUGAAACAGACACUCCAGCUGAGCUGUGAGAGACGAGCAGCAUGAGGCAGAAAUAAACCUUCGUUGUCUUACACUG